UUUCCGUAGGUGAACCUGCGGAAGGAUCAUUAAUGAGUUGUCAUGGGGUUCUAUGCUGGCAGCCAAUUUUUGGAUGCAUGUGCUUGCCCUAACAAUCAUCUUCCAAACACCUGUGCACAUUUUUGAGGGAGUCUUGAGUUGGUUGCCGCUCUUGGGUGAUUUUCUCACAUUCCCUUAAAUCAUUAUACGCUAUUAACAAUGUUGAACGUGCUCUGUGCCGUAAGGCUAUUAAUAUAGUACAACUUUUAACAACGGAUCUCUUGGCUCUC
This 269-nucleotide unclassified non-coding RNA is filed under the name plant metagenome. RNAcentral's name for it is "partial contains small subunit ribosomal RNA, internal transcribed spacer 1, and 5.8S ribosomal RNA". The record is from RNAcentral.